This 227-nucleotide unclassified non-coding RNA is filed under the name Hevea brasiliensis (rubber tree). The record is from RNAcentral. Lineage: Eukaryota; Viridiplantae; Streptophyta; Magnoliopsida; Malpighiales; Euphorbiaceae.
ACCGAUCUUCCUCCUCGUUUGAAUCAAAGGUUUCCACUGUCUUUACUCUUUGGAGGCGAUGGAAGUUACAUGGCUUCUUUUUCACUUCACAACGACAACAUUCUUACUAGUCUCAUGAGUCAGGUUCUACCACCUACAACAUGGUACCGCAUGGUUGCUGGCUUGAAUGCACAGUUACGGUUGGUUCGCCGUGGUCAGCUUAGAUCGACGUUUUUACCUGUUGUUAG